GAUGAACGCUGGCGGCGUGCCUAAUACAUGCAAGUCGAGCGAACGGACGAGAAGCUUGCUUCUCUGAUGUUAGCGGCGGACGGGUGAGUAACACGUGGAUAACCUACCUAUAAGACUGGGAUAACUUCGGGAAACCGGAGCUAAUACCGGAUAAUAUUUUGAACCGCAUGGUUCAAAAGUGAAAGACGGUCUUGCUGUCACUUAUAGAUGGAUCCGCGCUGCAUUAGCUAGUUGGUAAGGUAGCGGCUUACCAAGGCAACGAUGCAUAGCCGACCUGAGAGGGUGUUCGGCCACACUGGAACUGAGACACGGUCCAGACUCCUACGGGAGGCAGCAGUAGGGAAUCUUCCGCAAUGGGCGAAAGCCUGACGGAGCAACGCCGCGUGAGUGAUGAAGGUCUUCGGAUCGUAAAACUCUGUUAUUAGGGAAGAACAUAUGUGUAAGUAACUGUGCACAUCUUGACGGUACCUAAUCAGAAAGCCACGGCUAACUACGUG
RNAcentral lists this ribosomal RNA (497 nucleotides) under uncultured bacterium. RNAcentral's name for it is "partial 16S ribosomal RNA". It matches the Rfam family "Bacterial small subunit ribosomal RNA", at positions 28 to 507 of the family's 1533-position model. The record is from RNAcentral.